UAUCACAGCCAUGUCGAAGCUAAGCAGGGCUGAGCCUGGUUAGUACCUGGAUGGGAGACCACUAGGGAACACCAGGUUGCUGUUGGAA
This 88-nucleotide ribosomal RNA is filed under the name Danio rerio (zebrafish). Lineage: Eukaryota; Metazoa; Chordata; Actinopteri; Cypriniformes; Danionidae. The record is from RNAcentral.